This 430-nucleotide ribosomal RNA is filed under the name Actinomycetes bacterium. RNAcentral describes it as "Actinobacteria bacterium partial 16S ribosomal RNA". It matches the Rfam family "Bacterial small subunit ribosomal RNA", at positions 355 to 777 of the family's 1533-position model. Lineage: Bacteria; Bacillati; Actinomycetota; Actinomycetes. The record is from RNAcentral.
UAGGGAAUCUUCCGCAAUGGGCGAAAGCCUGACGGAGCAACGCCGCGUGAGUGAUGAAGGUCUUCGGAUCGUAAAACUCUGUUAUUAGGGAAGAACAAAUGUGUAAGUAACUAUGCACGUCUUGACGGUACCUAAUCAGAAAGCCACGGCUAACUACGUGCCAGCAGCCGCGGUAAUACGUAGGUGGCAAGCGUUAUCCGGAAUUAUUGGGCGUAAAGCGCGCGUAGGCGGUUUUUUAAGACUGAUGUGAAAGCCCACGGCUCAACCGUGGAGGGUCAUUGGAAACUGGAAAACUUGAGUGCAGAAGAGGAAAGUGGAAUUCCAUGUGUAGCGGUGAAAUGCGCAGAGAUAUGGAGGAACACCAGUGGCGAAGGCGACUUUCUGGUCUGUAACUGACGCUGAUGUGCGAAAGCGUGGGGAUCAAACAGGA